UAGAGUUUGAUCAUGGCUCAGGAUGAACGCUGGCGGCGUGGAUAAGGCAUGCAAGUCGAACGAAGCGACCUUCGGUCGCUGAGUGGCAAACGGGGUAGUAACACGUAGGUACAUACCGCUUACACAAGUAUAACCAGUCGAAAGAUUGGCUAAUCCUUGAUAGUUCCGCGUCUGACGCGGUAAAGGUCUCGAGCAAUCGAUUCCGGUAAGCGAAUGACCUGCGGGCUAUCAGCUUGUUGGUAGGGUAAUGGCCUACCAAGGCGAUGACGGCUAGGGGAGGUGAGAGCCUGACCCCCACCACUGGGACUGAGACACUGCCCAGACACCUACGGGUGGCUGCAGUCGAGAAUCUUCGACAAUGCGCGAAAGCGUGAUCGAGCGACGCCGCGUGCAGGAAGAAUCUCUUCGGAGCGUAAACUGCUUUUAACUGGGAAGAAAUUUCACUUCGGUGAUUUUGACAUUACCAGUUGAAUAAGGGCUUGCUAACCUCGUGCCAGCAGCCGCGGUAAUACGAGGAGCCCGAGCGUUAUCCGGAGUUACUGGGCGUAAAGGGUCCGUAGGGGGUUUAAUUAGUCCUCUGUUAAAAGUUUCGGCUCAACCGAAACAUUGCGGAGGAAACGGUUAGACUAUGAGGGCGCGAGAGGUCUGCGGGACUCACGGUGUAGGGGUGAAAUCCGUUGAUAUCGUGGGGAACACCAAAGGCGAAGGCAGCAGACUGGCGCGUUCCUGACCUUGAGGGACGAAAGCGUGGGUAUCGAACGGGAUUAGAUACCCCGGUAGUCCACGCCCUAAACGAUGAUGACUAGCUAUUGGAAGUAUCGACCCUUCCAGUGGCGAAGCUAACGCGUUAAGUCAUCCGCCUGGGAAUUAUGAUCGCAAGGUUAAAACUCAAAGGAAUAGACGGGGACUCGCACAAGCGGUGGAGCAUGUGGUUUAAUUCGAUGAUAACCGAAAAACCUCACCAGGGCUUGACAUUCCGACGACGAUUCGAGGAAAUUCGAAUUUUCUCACAAGGACGUCGGAACAGGUGAUGCAUGGUUGUCGUCAGUUCGUGGCUUGAGUUGUUCCCUUAAUUGGGGAAACGAGCGCAACCCUUAUCAUUUGUUACAUGUGUCAAAUGAGACUGCCUCCGUACAGGUGGAGGAAGGUGGGGAUGACGCCAAAUCAGCAUGUCCCUUUGACGCCCUGGGCUACACACGUGCUACAAUGGCCGGUACAAUGGGUUGCCAAGUCGUAAGACGGAGCUAAUCCCAUCAAAACCGGUCCCAGUUCGGAUCGAGGUCUGCAACUCGACCUCGUGAAGUUGGAAUCGCUAGUAAUCGCGGAUCAGCAUGCCGCGGUGAAUACGUUCUCGAGUCUUGUACUCACCGCCCGUCAAGUCAGGGAAGUCGGGAGUACCCGAAGCCUGAGUCUGACUCGGUCGAAGGUAAGCUCGAUGACAAGGACUAAGUCGUAACAAGGUA
This 1463-nucleotide ribosomal RNA is filed under the name uncultured Parcubacteria group bacterium. RNAcentral's name for it is "bacterial SSU rRNA". It matches the Rfam family "Bacterial small subunit ribosomal RNA". The record is from RNAcentral.